This 433-nucleotide ribosomal RNA is filed under the name uncultured bacterium. RNAcentral describes it as "partial 16S ribosomal RNA". It matches the Rfam family "Bacterial small subunit ribosomal RNA", at positions 29 to 507 of the family's 1533-position model. The record is from RNAcentral.
AACGAACGCUGGCGGCAUGCCUAACACAUGCAAGUCGAACGAGACCUUCGGGUCUAGUGGCGCACGGGUGCGUAACGCGUGGGAACCUGCCCUUAGGUUCGGAAUAACUCCCCGAAAGGGGUGCUAAUACCGGAUAAUGUCUUCGGACCAAAGAUUUAUCGCCUUUGGAUGGGCCCGCGUUGGAUUAGCUAGUUGGUAGGGUAAAAGCCUACCAAGGCGACGAUCCAUAGCUGGUCUGAGAGGAUGAUCCGCCACACUGGGACUGAGACACGGCCCAGACUCCUACGGGAGGCAGCAGUGGGGAAUAUUGGACAAUGGGCGAAAGCCUGAUCCAGCAAUGCCGCGUGAGUGAUGAAGGCCUUAGGGUUGUAAAGCUCUUUUACCCGGGAUGAUAAUGACAGUACCGGGAGAAUAAGCUCCGGCUAACUCCGUG